CGGGAUUCUUUAAGUUGCGACGAGUUCGACGCGCCGUUCAGGGCCAUUGUCUGUGGCCGUGGCGACGGAGCACGCACUGUUGGACAACAAGGUGCGUGGUAUCCGGGCCGGUUGCUAGCAGGCGAUGUGGGUCUAGAAGACCUUCUACGGCUCACCGACGAGGCAUUCCGACGGGCAGAAGUCCAGGUGAGGUUGAAUUCUCCGGCAAGGCCCUCUCCCCUUCUUUCUCUUGUGUGUGUCUUCUCCUCCGCCUGGGCGUUGAUCUGAGGCAGGAGGCACAGCGGUUGCAAGGUGGGAUGGUGGAGGCUGUGGGAGGCCUCCAGAAAGUGUGGCCAGAAGUGGUGGUGCCGACGGUCCCGACGGCACGCGGCGCAGGUCGUGCUCAACGGCCAUGGUGACGGCCAGUGCAGGGCACGCGCGACUCUGCGAUGGUGAGCACAAGGCCAUGAAUGUUGGGUCAACCUGGUCUUCGGAUGGUCUUCCACAUGCAUGUAGCAGCACAACUUGCAUGCAACGGCAGUAGUAGUUAUUACUUAGCUAUGAAGUGAUAGAAGGUAGUAGUAGCUGCAUGUCGGCAGUAGUAAUUUCCUGAGCAGUAGAGGAGGCGUGGCUUAGUAGCUAAGCUUUACAACGUAAGUCAUGAUGUCAUUUAGGCACUUGACGUCAGCACAUGCGUUCUAUAGUCGGUUUGUAAUCCUCUAUAAAAGGAGCACUACUCCAUCGAUGUAAUAUCAUUCCACUCCGAUCAAUUCAAGUAGUAUCUUUUCUCAAGUGUAGCUCCAUCGGUGCAUGCUUCACUAGUGUGUGUGUGCGUAUUAGCCUAGAGAGCCUGAGCGUACCAUCACUUUGCUCUUUCGCCGGUCAUCUAUCAGUAUACUCGAGUGCUAGCGAGUAGUUCUGGGCUAACAAUUGGCAUCAGAGCCUCUGGUUGUGGUAGCCAUGGCCGGUGGUAAAGGAGUUCAGCAGCGCACCACCUCGGGUGGUUCCCAGGCGCGGCCAUCACAGGACGGCUCCCAGUCGCCGGCUCCGGAGGAGCAGCGAGGGCGCAGCUGUUGGGGAACGUUGCAGAAAAUUAAAAUUUUUCCUACGGUUUCACCAAGAUCCAUCUAUGAGUUCAUCUAAGCAACGAGUCAAGGGAGAGAGUUUGCAUCUACAUACCACUUGUAGAUCGCGUGCGGAAGCUUGCAAGGUGAUGAUGUAGUCGUACUCGACGUGAUUCGAAUCACCGAUGACCAAGUGCUGAACGGACAGCACCUUCGCGUUCAACACACGUACGGGAUGGGAGACGUCUCCUCCUUCUUGAUCCAGCAAGGGGGGAGGAGAGGUUGAGGAAGACAGCUCCACCGGCAGCACGACGGCGUGGUGAUGGUGGAGAGGCAGUACUCCGACAGGGCUUCGCCAAGCACACAACUGAGGAGGAGAGGUGUUGGGGAGGGGAGGGCUGCGCCUUGGAGGGUGGUUCGGCUGCUCUCCCCUCACCCCUCUAUUUAUAGGGGGAAGGGAGAAGGGGGCCGGCCCCCUAGAACCCAUCUAGGGGGGGGGGUGCGGCGGCCUAGGGGAGAGGGGAGAGGGUGGCUUGCCCCCCAAGCCAAGGGGGGCGCCCCCUCUAGGGUUCCCCCUCAACCCUAGGCGCAUGGGCCCAAGGGAGGGGGUGUGGCCAGCCCACCAGGGGCUGGCUCCCUGCCCCACGCAGCCCAUGUGGCCCCCCGGGAGGGGUGGCCCCUCCCGGUGGACCCCCGAAACCCUUCCGGUGGCCCCGGUACAAUACCGGUAUGACCCCGAAACUUCCCGGUGUCCAUUUGACAACUUCCCAUAUAUAAAUCUUUACAUCCGGACCCUUCCGGAUCACCUUGUGACGUCCAGGAUCCCAUCCGGGACUCCGAACAACAUUCGGUAGUCACAUACUAGUCUUCCUAAUAACCCUAGCGUCACCGAACCUUAAGUGUGUAGACCCUACGGGUUCGGGAGACAUGCAGACAUGACCGAGACGCUCUCAGUCAAUAACCAUCAGCGGGAUCUGGAUACCCAUGAUGGCUCCCACAUGCUCCUCGAUGUUGUCAUCGGAUGAACCAUGAUGUCGAGGAUUCGAUCAAACCCUGUAUGCAAUUCCCUUUGUCAAUCGGUACGUUACUUGCCCGAGACUCGAUCGUCGGUAUCCCAAUACCUUGUUCAGUCUCGUUACCGGCAAGUCACUUUACUCGUACCGUAAUGCAUGAUCCCGUGUCCAACACCUUGGUCACAUUGAGCUCAAUAUGAUGAUGCAUUACCGAGUGGGCCCAGAGAUACCUCUCCGUCAUACGGAGUGACAAAUCCCAGUCUCGAUCCGUGUCAACCCAACAGCUACUUUCGGAGAUACCUGUAAUGCACCUUUAUAGUCACCCAGUUACGUUGUGACGUUUGAUACACCCAAGGCACUCCUACGGUAUCCGGGAGUUACAUGAUCUCAUGGUCUAAGGAAGAGAUACUUGACAUUGGCAAAGCUCUAGCAAAACGAACUACACGAUCUUUUAUGCUAUGCUUAGGAUUGGGUCUUGUCCAUCACAUCAUUCUCCUAAUGAUGUGAUCCCGUUAUCAACGACAUCCAAUGUCCAUAGUCAGGAAACCAUGACUAUCUGUUGAUCACAACGAGCUGGUCAACUAGAGGCUCACCAGGGACAUAUUGUGGUCUAAGUAUUCACACGUGUAUUACGAUUUCCGGACAAUACAGUUAUAGCAUGAAUAAAAGACAAUUAUCAUGAACAAUGAAAUAUAAUAAUACUUUUAUUAUUGCCUCUAGGGCAUAUUUCCAACAGUCUCCCACUUGCACUAGAGUCACCAAUCUAGUUAUAUUGUGAUGAAUCGAACACCCAUAGAGUUCUGGUGUUGAUCAUGUUUUGCACGCGAGAGAGGUUUAGUCAGCGGAUCUGCGACAUUCAGAUCCGUGUGCACUUUGCAAAUAUCUAUGUCUCCAUCUUGAACAUUUUCACGGAUGGAGUUGAAAUGACGCUUGAUGUGCCUGGUCUUCUUGUGAAACUUGGGCUCCUUGGUGAGGGCAAUAGCUCCAGUGUUGUCACAGAAGAGUUUGAUCGGCCCCGACGCAUUGGGUAUGACUCCUAGGUCGGUGAUGAACUCCUUCACCCAAAUCGCUUCAUGCGCUGCCUCCGAGGCUGCCAUGUACUCCGCUUCACACGUAGAUCCCGCCACGACGCUCUGCUUGCAGCUGCACCAGCUUACUGCUCCACCAUUCAACAUAUACACCUAUCCGGUUUGUGACUUAGAGUCAUCCAGAUCUGAGUCGAAGCUAGCGCCGACGUAUCCCUUUACGACGAGCUCUUCGUCUCCUCCAUAAACGAGAAACAUGUCCUUCGUCCUUUUCAGGUACUUCAGGAUAUUCUUGACCGCUGUCCAGUGUUCCUUGCCGGGAUUACUUUGGUAUCUUGCUACCAAACUUACGGCAAGGUUUACAUCGGGUCUGGUACACAGCAUGGCAUACAUAAUAGAUCCUAUGGCUGAAGCAUAGGGGAUGACACUCAUCUCUUCUUUAUCUUUUGCCGUGGUCGGUGACUGAGCUGAGCUCAGUCUCACACCUUGUAACAUAGGCAAGAACCCCUUCUUGGACUGAUUCAUUCUGAAUCUCUUCAAAAUCUUAUCAAGGUAUGUGCUUUGUGAAAGACCUAUGAGGCGUCUCGAUCUAUCUCUAUAGAUCUUGAUGCCUAAUAUAUAAGCAGCUUCUCCAAGGUCCUUCAUUGAAAAACACUUAUUCAAGUAGGCCUUAAUGCUGUCCAGAAAUUCUAUAUUAUUUCCCAUCAAGAGUAUGUCAUCUACAUAUAAUAUGAGAAAUGCUACAGAGCUCCCACUCACUUUCUUGUAAACGCAGGCUUCUCCAUAAGUCUGCAUAAACCCAAAUGCUUUGAUCAUCUCAUCAAAGCGAAUGUUCCAACUCCGAGAUGCUUGCAUCAGUCCAUAAAUGGAUCGCUGGAGCUUGCAUACUUUGUUAGUGUUCCGAGGAUCGACAAAACCUUCCGGCUGCAUCAUAUACAGUUCUUCCUUAAGAUGCCCGUUAAGGAAUGCUGUUUUGACGUCCAUCUGCCAUAUCUCAUAAUCAUAGUAUGCGGCAAUUGCUAACAUGAUUCGGACGGACUUUAGCUUCGCUACGGGAGAGAAUGUCUCGUCGUAGUCAAUCCCUUGAACCUGUCGAUAACCCUUAGCGACAAGUCGAGCUUUAUAGAUGGUAAUAUUACCAUCCGCGUCCGUCUUCUUCUUAAAGAUCCAUUUGUUUUCUAUCGCUCGCCGAUCAUCGGGCAAAUCUGUCAAAGUCCAUACUUUGUUUUCAUACAUGGAUUCUAUCUCGGAUUUCAUGGCUUCAAGCCAUUUGUUGGAAUCCGGGCCCGCCAUUGCUUCUUCAUAGUUCGAAGGUUCAUUGUUGUCUAACAACAUGAUUUCCAGGACAGGGUUGCCGUACCACUCUGGUGCGGAACGUGUCCUUGUGGACCUACGAAGUUCAGCAGUAACUUGAUCCGAAGUACCUUGAUCAUUAUCAUUGUUUUCCUCUUCAGUUGGUGUGGGCAUCACAGGAACGGUUUCCUGCGCUGCGCCACUUUCCCGCUCAAGAGGUAGUACUUCAUCGAGUUCUACUUUCCUCCCACUUACUUCUUUCGAGAGAAACUCUUUUUCCAGAAAGCAUCCGUUCUUGGCAACAAAGAUCUUGCCUUCGGAUCUUAAGUAGAAGGUAUACCCUACAGUUUCCUUAGGGUAUCCUAUGAAUACGCAUUUUUCCGACUUGGGUUUGAGCUUUUCAGGUUGAAGUUUCUUGACAUAAGCAUCGCAUCCCCAAACUUUUAGAAACGACAACUUGGGUUUCUUUCCAAACCAUAAUUCAUACGGUGUCGUCUCAACGGAUUUAGACGGUGCCCUAUUUAAAGUGAAUGCAGCUGUCUCUAGAGCGUAUCCCCAAAAUGAUAGCGGUAAAUCGGUAAGAGACAUCAUAGACCGCACCAUAUCCAAUAGGGUGCGAUUACGACGUUCGGACACACCGUUUCGCUGAGGUGUUCCAGGCGGCGUGAGCUGUGAAACGAUUCCACAUUUCCUUAAGUGUGUACCAAAUUCGUGACUUAAGUAUUCUCCUCCACGAUCUGAUCGUAAGAAUUUUAUCUUUCGGUCACGUUGAUUCUCUACCUCAUUCUGAAAUUCCUUGAACUUUUCAAAGGUCUCAGACUUGUGUUUCAUUAAGUAGACAUACCCAUAUCUACUCAAGUCAUCUGUGAGAGUGAGAACAUAACGAUAUCCUCCGUGAGCCUCAACGCUCAUUGGACCGCACACAUCAGUAUGUAUGAUUUCCAACAAGUUGGUUGCUCGCUCCAUUGUUCCGGAGAACGGAGUCUUGGUUAUUUUGCCCAAAAGGCAUGGUUCGCACGUGUCAAACGAUUCAUAAUCAAGAGACUCUAAAAGUCCAUCGGCAUGGAGCUUCUUCAUGCGCUUGACACCAAUGUGACCAAGGCGGCAGUGGCACAAGUAUGUGGGACUAUCGUUAUCAACUUUAAAUCUUUUGGCAUCUACACUAUGAACAUGUGUAAUAUUACGCUCGAGAUUCAUUAAGAAUAAACCAUUGACCAUCGGAGCAUGACCAUAAAACAUAUCUCUCAUAUAAAUCGAACAACCAUUAUUCUCAGACUUAAAUGAGUAGCCAUCUCGUAUUAAACAAGAUCCUGAUACAAUGUUCAUGCUCAAACUUGGCACUAAAUAACAAUUAUUAAGGUUCAAAACUAAUCCCGUAGGUAAAUGUAGAGGCAGCGUGCCGACGGCGAUCACAUCGACUCUGGAACCAUUCCCGACGCGCAUCGUCACCUCGUCCUUCGCCAGUCUCCGUUUAUUCCGCAGCUCCUGCUGUGAGUUACAAAUAUGAGCAACGACACCGGUAUCAAAUACCCAGGAGUUACUACGAGUACUGGUAAGGUACACAUCAAUCACAUGUAUAUCAAAUAUACCUUUGGUGUUGCCGGCCUUCUUAUCCGCUAAGUAUUUGGGGCAGUUCCGCUUCCAGUGACCCUUCCCCUUGCAAUAAAAGCACUCAGUCUCAGGCUUGGGUCCAUUCUUUGACUUCUUCCCGGUAACUGGCUUACCAGGCGCGGCAACAUCUUUGCCGUCCUUCUUGAAGUUCUUCUUACCCUUGCCCUUCUUGAACUUAGUGGUCUUAUUGACCAUCAACACUUGAUGUUAUUUCUUGAUUUCAUCCUCUGCUGACUUCAGCAUCGAGAACACUUCAGGAAUGGUCUUUUCCAUUCCCUACAUGUUGUAGUUCAUCACAAAGCUCUUGUAGCUUGGUGGGAGCGACUGGAGGAUUCUGUCAAUGACCGCCUCAUCUAGGAGGUUAAUGUUCAGCUGGGUCAUACGGUUGUGCAACCCAGACAUCUUCAGGAUGUGCUCACUGACAGAACUAUUUUCCUCCAUCUUACAACUGUAGAACUUGUCGGAGACAUCAUAUCUCUCGACCCGGGCAUGAGCUUGGAAAACUAGUUUCAGCUCUUCGAACAUCUCAUAUGCUCCGUGAUGCUCAAAACGCUUUUGGAGCCCCGGUUCUAAGCUGUAAAGCAUGCCGCACUGAACGAGGGAGUAAUCAUCAGCACGAGACUGCCAAGCAUUCAUAAUGUCUUGGUUCUCUGGGACGGGAGCGUCACCUAGCGGUCCUUCUAGGACAUAUUGUUUCCUGGCAGCUAUGAGGAUGAUCCUCAGGUUCCGGACCCAGUCCGUAUAGUUGCUGCCAUCAUCUUUCAGCUUGGUUUUCUCUAGGAACGCGUUGAAGUUCAUGUUGACAUUAGCGUUGGCCAUUUGAUCUACAAGACAUAUUUGCAAAGGUUUUAGACUAAGUUCAUGAUAAUAAAGUUCUAAUCAAAUUAUGAACUCCCACUUAGAUUAGACAUCCCUCUAGUCAUCUAAGUGUUACACGAUCCGAGUCGACUAGCCCGUGUCCGAUCAUCACGUGAGACGGACUAGUCAUCGUCGGUGAACAUCUUCAUGUUGAUCGUAUCUUCCAUACGACUCGUGUUCGACCUUUCGGUCUCCGUGUUCCGAGGCCAUGUCUGCACAUGCUAGGCUCGUCAAGUUAACCCUAAGUGUUUUCACUGUGUAAAACUGUCUUACACCCGUUGUAUGUGAACGUAAGAAUCCAUCACACCCGAUCAUCACGUGGUGCUUAGAAGCGACGAACUGUAGCAACGGUGCACAGUUAGGGGAGAACACUUCUUGAAAUUUUGUAAGGGAUCAUCUUAUUUACUACCGUCGUCCUAAGUAAACAAGAUGCAUAAACAUAAUAAACAUCACAUGCAAUUAUAUAGUUGUGACAUGAUAUGGCCAAUAUCAUAUAGCUCCAUUGAUCUUCAUCUUCGGGGCUCCAUGAUCAUCUUGUCACCGGCUUGACACCAUGAUCUCCAUCAUCGUGUCUUCAUGAAGUUGUCACGCCAACGACUACUUCUACUUCUAUGACUAACGUUUAGCAAUAAAGUAAAGUAGUUUACAUGGCGUUAUUCAAUGACACGCAGGUCAUACAAAAAUUAAAGACAACUCCUAUGGCUCCUGCCGGUUGUCAUACUCAUCGACAUGCAAGUCGUGAAUCCUAUUACAAAGAACAUGAUCUCAUACAUCACAAUUCAUCAUUCAUCACAACUUCUGGCCAUAUCACAUCACAUGAUCAAUCGCUGCAAAAACAAGUUAGACGUCCUCUAAUUGUUGUUGCAUCUUUUACGUGGCUGCAAUUGGGUUCUAGCAAGAACGUUUUCUUACCUACGAAUCACCACAACGUGAUUUUGUCAACUUCUAUUUACCCUUCAUAAGGGCCCUGUUCAUCGAUUCCGCUCCAACUAAAAUGGGAGAGACAGACACCCGCCAGCCACCUUAUGCAACUAGUGCAUGUCAGUCGGUGGAACCGGUCUCACGUAAGCGUACGUGUAAGGUUGGUCCGGGCCGCUUCAUCCCACAAUACCGUUGAGCAAGAAAAGACUAGUAGAGGCAAGUAAGAUGACAAAAUCCACGCCCACAACAAAAUUGUGUUCUACUCGUGCAAAGAGAACUACGCAUAGACCUAGCUCAUGAUGCCACUGUUGGGGAACGUUGCAGAAAAUUAAAUUUUUUCCUACGGUUUCACCAAGAUCCAUCUAUGAGUUCAUCUAAGCAACGAGUCAAGGGAGAGAGUUUGCAUCUACAUACCACUUGUAGAUCGCGUGCGGAAGCUUGCAAGGUGAUGAUGUAGUCGUACUCGACGUGAUUCGAAUCACCGAUGACCAAGUGCUGAACGGACAGCACCUCCGCGUUCAACACACGUACGGGACGGGAGACGUCUCCUCCUUCUUGAUCCAGCAAGGGGGGAUGAGAGGUUGAGGAAGACAGCUCCACCGGCAGCACGACGGCGUGGUGAUAGUGGAGAGGCAGUACUCCGACAGGGCUUCACCAAG
Molecule: long non-coding RNA, 8423 nt
Filed under: Triticum aestivum (bread wheat)
Lineage: Eukaryota; Viridiplantae; Streptophyta; Magnoliopsida; Poales; Poaceae
Description: long non-coding RNA (TAES_LNC002841)
Source: RNAcentral